GACGCCCGCUUUCUUCUUGCUUAACACAUGCAAGUCGAACGGAAAGGCCCUGCUUUUGUGGGGUGCUCGAGUGGCGAACGGGUGAGUAACACGUGAGUAACCUGCCCUUGACUUUGGGAUAACUUCAGGAAACUGGGGCUAAUACCGGAUAGGAGCUCCUGCUGCAUGGUGGGGGUUGGAAAGUUUCGGCGGUUGGGGAUGGACUCGCGGCUUAUCAGCUUGUUGGUGGGGUAGUGGCUUACCAAGGCUUUGACGGGUAGCCGGCCUGAGAGGGUGACCGGCCACAUUGGGACUGAGAUACGGCCCAGACUCCUACGGGAGGCAGCAGUGGGGAAUAUUGCACAAUGGGCGGAAGCCUGAUGCAGCAACGCCGCGUGCGGGAUGACGGCCUUCGGGUUGUAAACCGCUUUCGCCUGUGACGAAGCGUGAGUGACGGUAAUGGGUAAAGAAGCACCGGCUAACUACGUG
RNAcentral lists this ribosomal RNA (468 nucleotides) under uncultured bacterium. RNAcentral describes it as "partial 16S ribosomal RNA". It matches the Rfam family "Bacterial small subunit ribosomal RNA", at positions 28 to 507 of the family's 1533-position model. The record is from RNAcentral.